AUCCAUGGCCAUGCCACCUUGACCAUGCUUGAUCUCAUCUGAUCUUGGAACCUAAGUGGGGUUGGGUCUGAUUUAUACUGGGAUGAGAGACCACAUUGGAAUACUGAAUGCCAUGGUCU
Molecule: ribosomal RNA, 119 nt
Filed under: Notamacropus eugenii (tammar wallaby)
Lineage: Eukaryota; Metazoa; Chordata; Mammalia; Diprotodontia; Macropodidae
Source: RNAcentral